UUCGCAAUGCCCGAAAGGGUGACGAAGCGACGCCGCGUGUGGGAAGAAGGCCUUCGGGUUGUAAACCACUGUCGGGAGUUAAGAAAUGUAAGGGUGUUAAUAGCGCCUUUACUUGACAAAGGCUCCGGAGGAAGCCACGGCUAACCCUGUGCCAGCAGCCGCGGUAAUACAGAGGCGGCAAGCGUUGUUCGGAAUUAUUGGGCGUAAAGAGCACGUAGGCGGCUUUGCAAGUCAGUUGUGAAAGCCUUCCGCUUAACGGAAGAACGGCAGCUGAUACUACAGAGCUUGAGUACGGGAGGGGAGAGUGGAACUUCUGGUGGAGCGGUGAAAUGCGUAGAUAUCAGAAGGAACGCCGGCGGCGAAAGCGAUUCUCUGGUCCGAAACUGACGCUGAGUGUGCGAAAGCUAGGGGAUCAAACGGGAUUAGAUACUCCGGUAGUCCUAGCCGUAAACGAUGGGCACUAAGUAGAGGGGUUUU
Molecule: ribosomal RNA, 477 nt
Filed under: uncultured Planctomycetota bacterium
Lineage: Bacteria; Pseudomonadati; Planctomycetota
Description: bacterial SSU rRNA
Rfam family: Bacterial small subunit ribosomal RNA
Source: RNAcentral